Non-coding RNA from Caenorhabditis elegans, 143 nucleotides. NCBI's taxonomy places the organism in Eukaryota, Metazoa, Nematoda, Chromadorea, Rhabditida, Rhabditidae. The record is from Ensembl.
CGUCUGCAAAAAGUGCGAGAGAUAGGAUAGUAAACAGGCGCGUCUGUCGACGGGGUGAAAGGGCGAUAUGGAGUAGUAAAAAGAGAUGAAAUGGAGGAAAAGAAAAAGGGAAAAAAGAACGAUGGCUCCGCCCCAUCACCCCA